RNAcentral lists this ribosomal RNA (434 nucleotides) under uncultured bacterium. Its description in RNAcentral is "partial 16S ribosomal RNA". It matches the Rfam family "Bacterial small subunit ribosomal RNA", at positions 29 to 507 of the family's 1533-position model. The record is from RNAcentral.
AGCGAACGCUGGCGGCAGGCCUAACACAUGCAAGUCGAACGAACCUUUCGGGGUUAGUGGCGGACGGGUGAGUAACACGUGGGAACGUGCCUUUAGGUUCGGAAUAACUCAGGGAAACUUGUGCUAAUACCGAAUGUGCCCUUCGGGGGAAAGAUUUAUCGCCUUUAGAGCGGCCCGCGUCUGAUUAGCUAGUUGGUUGAGGUAAUGGCUCACCAAGGCGACGAUCAGUAGCUGGUCUGAGAGGAUGAUCAGCCACAUUGGGACUGAGACACGGCCCAAACUCCUACGGGAGGCAGCAGUGGGGAAUCUUGCGAAAUGGGCGAAAGCCUGACGCAGCCAGGCCGCGUGAAUGAUGAAGGUCUGAGGAUUGUAAAAUUCUUUCACCGGGGACGAUAAUGACGGUACCCGGAGAAGAAGCCCCGGCUAACUUCGUG